AUUGAACGCUGGCGGCAUGCCUUACACAUGCAAGUCGAACGGCAGCACGGGAGCAAUCCUGGUGGCGAGUGGCGAACGGGUGAGUAAAGUAUCGGAACGUGCCCAGUCGUGGGGGAUAACGUAGCGAAAGUUACGCUAAUACCGCAUACGAUCUAUGGAUGAAAGCGGGGGAUCGCAAGACCUCGCGCGAUUGGAGCGGCCGAUAUCAGAUUAGCUAGUUGGUGGGGUAAAGGCUCACCAAGCCGACGAUCUGUAGCUGGUCUGAGAGGACGACCAGCCACGCUGGGACUGAAACACGACCCAGACUCCUACGGGAGGCAGCAGUGGGAAAUUUUGGACAAUGGGCGCAAGCCUGAGCCAGCCAUGCCGCGUGCAGGAUGAAGGCCUUCGGGUUGUAAACUGCUUUUGUACGGAACGAAAAGGUUUGACUUAAUACGUUGGACUCAUGACGGUACCGUAAGAAUAAGCACCGGCUAACUACGUGCCAGCAGCCGCAGUAA
Molecule: ribosomal RNA, 500 nt
Filed under: uncultured bacterium
Lineage: Bacteria
Description: partial 16S ribosomal RNA
Rfam family: Bacterial small subunit ribosomal RNA
Source: RNAcentral